This 88-nucleotide signal recognition particle RNA is filed under the name Thermomonas hydrothermalis. RNAcentral describes it as "Bacterial small signal recognition particle RNA". It matches the Rfam family "Bacterial small signal recognition particle RNA". Rfam says of the family: The signal recognition particle (SRP) is a universally conserved ribonucleoprotein involved in the co-translational targeting of proteins to membranes. Archaeal SRP consists of a 7S RNA and homologues of the eukaryotic SRP19 and SRP54 proteins. The record is from RNAcentral. Lineage: Bacteria; Pseudomonadati; Pseudomonadota; Gammaproteobacteria; Lysobacterales; Lysobacteraceae.
UCGGUCCCUCGCGACGCUAGGUCGAAAACCCCGCCAGGGCCGGAAGGCAGCAACGGUAUCGACUGAUGCGGGUGCCGAGGUCAACCGG